Molecule: ribosomal RNA, 602 nt
Filed under: Rhodotorula kratochvilovae
Lineage: Eukaryota; Fungi; Basidiomycota; Microbotryomycetes; Sporidiobolales; Sporidiobolaceae
Description: eukaryotic LSU rRNA
Rfam family: Eukaryotic large subunit ribosomal RNA
Source: RNAcentral
AAUAAGCGGAGGAAAAGAAACUAACAAGGAUUCCCCUAGUAGCGGCGAGCGAAGCGGGAAGAGCUCAAAUUUAUAAUCUGGCACCUUCGGUGUCCGAGUUGUAAUCUCUAGAAGUGUUUUCCGCGUUGGACCGCACACAAGUCUGUUGGAAUACAGCGGCACAGUGGUGAUACCCCCGUACACGGUGCGGACGCCCAGCGCUUUGUGAUACACUUUCAAUGAGUCGAGUUGUUUGGGAAUGCAGCUCAAAUUGGGUGGUAAAUUCCAUCUAAAGCUAAAUAUUGGCGAGAGACCGAUAGCGAACAAGUACCGUGAGGGAAAGAUGAAAAGCACUUUGGAAAGAGAGUUAACAGUACGUGAAAUUGUUGGAAGGGAAACGCUUGAAGUCAGACUUGCUUGCCGGAGCUUGCUUCGGUUUGCAGGCCAGCAUCAGUUUUCCGGGGUGGAUAAUGGUGGUUUGAAGGUAGCAGCCUCGGCUGUGUUAUAGCUUUCCACUGGAUACAUCCUGGGGGACUGAGGAACGCAGCGUGCUUUUUGCGAAGGUUUCGACCUUUUCACGCUUAGGAUGCUGGUGUAAUGACUUUAAACGACCCGUCUUGAAA